This 100-nucleotide microRNA precursor is filed under the name Vitis vinifera (wine grape). RNAcentral's name for it is "miR166g stem-loop (vvi-MIR166g)". Its record names the gene vvi-MIR166g. It matches the Rfam family "mir-166 microRNA precursor family". From Rfam's summary of the family: This family represents the plant microRNA (miRNA) precursor mir-166. Animal miRNAs are transcribed as ~70nt precursors and subsequently processed by the Dicer enzyme to give a ~22nt product. The record is from miRBase by way of RNAcentral. Lineage: Eukaryota; Viridiplantae; Streptophyta; Magnoliopsida; Vitales; Vitaceae.
AACAGUUGAGGGGAAUGUUGUCUGGUUCGAGAUCCUUCGUAUGAAGCUCAAGCAGCGUUUGAAUGAUUUCGGACCAGGCUUCAUUCCCCUCAACCCAAAA